RNAcentral lists this ribosomal RNA (370 nucleotides) under uncultured organism. RNAcentral describes it as "bacterial SSU rRNA". It matches the Rfam family "Bacterial small subunit ribosomal RNA", at positions 526 to 896 of the family's 1533-position model. The record is from RNAcentral.
CGUAGGGUGCAAGCGUUAAUCGGAAUUACUGGGCGUAAAGCGUGCGCAGGCGGCUUUGCAAGACAGAUGUGAAAUCCCCGGGCUUAACCUGGGAACUGCAUUUGUGACUGCAUGGCUGGAGUGCGGCAGAGGGGGAUGGAAUUCCGCGUGUAGCAGUGAAAUGCGUAGAUGUGCGGAGGAACACCGAUGGCGAAGGCAAUCCCCUGGGCCUGCACUGACGCUCAUGCACGAAAGCGUGGGGAGCAAACAGGAUUAGAUACCCUGGUAGUCCACGCCCUAAACGAUGUCAACUGGUUGUUGGACGGCUUGCUGUUCAGUAACGAAGCUAACGCGUGAAGUUGACCGCCUGGGGAGUACGGCCGCAAGGUUG